GUGAAUCAUCAAAUCUUUGAACGCACAUUGCGCUUCCUGGCGUUCUGGGAAGUAUGCCUGUUUGAGGGUCAGUAUUAAUAAAAAAUCGGUUUAGUUAUAAAUAGUGACGUUUCCGGGGUUUGGGCUAUUUUAUCAUUUUUGGUUAAGAGGCUUAAUAUUGACCUUUUUUGCGCCUUCUUAACUGUACAUAAAUUUUUUUUAUUCGUCUAUUCUUAAUGCCAAAAUCUUAUUAGAUGCGAUCACAUCGUGUGGCUUCGUGCUCAUACAAUUUUAAUGAU
This 278-nucleotide unclassified non-coding RNA is filed under the name Glomeraceae sp. Its description in RNAcentral is "partial contains 5.8S ribosomal RNA and internal transcribed spacer 2". The stretch from base 1 to 71 matches the Rfam family "5.8S ribosomal RNA", at positions 84 to 154 of the family's 154-position model. Lineage: Eukaryota; Fungi; Glomeromycota; Glomeromycetes; Glomerales; Glomeraceae. The record is from RNAcentral.